CAAUAGCGUAUAUUAAAGUUGUUGCGGUUAAAAAGCUCGUAGUUGGAUUUCAGUCUUAACUCGUCUGGCCCGCUCCCUUGAGGAGCCGAGUGCCGGUUGCGAGUUGGACUUCCUUCUAGCAUGGAACCUCUACCGUUAUGCGGCCGGGGGGGACAUCUGGAUCAUUUACUUUGAAGAAAUUAGAGUGUUCAAAGCAAGCUUACGCUGUGAAUAUAUUAGCAUGGAAUAAUAACAUAGGACUUUGUUUCUAUUUUGUUUGGUUUCUAGAAACGAGUAAUGAUUGAUAGGGACAGUUGGGGGUGGCUGCUAUUAUAUGGCCAGAGGUGAAAUUCACGGAUUCAUAUAAGAGCAACUUAUGCGAAAGCAUUCACCAAGGAUGUCUUCUUUAAUCAAGAACGAAAGUUAGGGGAGUCGAAGAUGAUUAGAUACCAU
Molecule: ribosomal RNA, 432 nt
Filed under: uncultured eukaryote
Lineage: Eukaryota
Description: bacterial SSU rRNA
Rfam family: Eukaryotic small subunit ribosomal RNA
Source: RNAcentral